Molecule: ribosomal RNA, 846 nt
Filed under: uncultured bacterium
Lineage: Bacteria
Description: bacterial SSU rRNA
Rfam family: Bacterial small subunit ribosomal RNA
Source: RNAcentral
GGCUCAGGACGAACGCUGGCGGCGUGCNUAACACAUGCAAGUCGAGCGAUGAAACCCUUCGGGGUGGAUUAGCGGCGGACGGGUGAGUAACACGUGGGUAACCUGCCUCAAAGAGGGGGAUAGCCUCCCGAAAGGGAGAUUAAUACCGCAUAACAUUAGAUUUUCGCAUGAAGAACUAAUUAAAGGAGUAAUCCGCUUUGAGAUGGACCCGCGGCGCAUUAGCUAGUUGGUGAGGUAAAGGCUCACCAAGGCGACGAUGCGUAGCCGACCUGAGAGGGUGAUCGGCCACAUUGGAACUGAGACACGGUCCAGACUCCUACGGGAGGCAGCAGUGGGGAAUAUUGCACAAUGGGCGAAAGCCUGAUGCAGCAACGCCGCGUGAGUGAUGAAGGCCUUCGGGUUGUAAAGCUCUGUCUUUGGGGACGAUAAUGACGGUACCCAAGGAGGAAGCCACGGCUAACUACGUGCCAGCAGCCGCGGUAAUACGUAGGUGGCGAGCGUUGUCCGGAUUUACUGGGCGUAAAGGAUGCGUAGGUGGAUGUUUAAGUCAGAUGUGAAAUACCCGAGCUUAACUUGGGUGCUGCAUUUGAAACUGGACAUCUAGAGUGCAGGAGAGGUAAGUGGAAUUCCUAGUGUAGCGGUGAAAUGCGUAGAGAUUAGGAAGAACACCAGUGGCGAAGGCGACUUACUGGACUGUAACUGACACUGAGGCAUGAAAGCGUGGGUAGCAAACAGGAUUAGAUACCCUGGUAGUCCACGCCGUAAACGAUGAGUACUAGGUGUAGGGGGGUCCAACCUUCUGUGCCGCAGUUAACACAAUAAGUACUCCGCCUGGGAAGUACGAUC